RNAcentral lists this ribosomal RNA (484 nucleotides) under uncultured bacterium. Its description in RNAcentral is "partial 16S ribosomal RNA". It matches the Rfam family "Bacterial small subunit ribosomal RNA", at positions 30 to 507 of the family's 1533-position model. The record is from RNAcentral.
AUUGAACGCUGGCGGCAGGCCUAACACAUGCAAGUCGAGCGGAUGAAGGGAGCUUGCUCCUGGCUUCAGCGGCGGACGGGUGAGUGAUGCCUAGGAAUCUGCCUGGUAGUGGGGGCUAACGUCCGGAAACGGGCGCUAAUACCGCAUACGUCCUGAGGGUGAAAGUGGGGGAUCUUCGGACCUCACGCUAUCUGAUGAGCCUAGGUCGGAUUAGCUAGUUGGUGGGGUAAAGGCCUACCAAGGCGACGAUCCGUAACUGGUCUGAGAGGAUGAUCAGUCACACUGGAACUGAGACACGGUCCAGACUCCUACGGGAGGCAGCAGUAGGGAAUAUUGGACAAUGGGCGAAAGCCUGAUCCAGCCAUGCCGCGUGUGUGAAGAAGGUCUUCGGAUUGUAAAGCACUUUAAGUUGGGAGGAAGGGCAGUAAGUUAAUACCUUGCUGUUUUGACGUUACCAACAGAAUAAGCACCGGCUAACUUCGUG